This 236-nucleotide ribosomal RNA is filed under the name Pantoea ananatis. RNAcentral's name for it is "partial 23S ribosomal RNA". It matches the Rfam family "Bacterial large subunit ribosomal RNA", at positions 1 to 228 of the family's 2925-position model. Lineage: Bacteria; Pseudomonadati; Pseudomonadota; Gammaproteobacteria; Enterobacterales; Erwiniaceae. The record is from RNAcentral.
GGGUUGUGAGGUUAAGCGACUAAGCGUACACGGUGGAUGCCCUGGCAGUCAGAGGCGAUGAAGGGCGUGCUAAUCUGCGAUAAGCGCCGGUAAGGUGAUAUGAACCGCUACAACCGGCGAUACCCGAAUGGGGAAACCCAGUGUGACUCGUCACACUAUCAUGCAGUGAAUACAUAGCUGUAUGAGGCGAACCGGGGGAACUGAAACAUCUAAGUACCCCGAGGAAAAGAAAUCAA